GAUGAACGCUGGCGGCGUGCCUAAUACAUGCAAGUCGAGCGAACAGAUGAGGAGCUUGCUCCUCUGACGUUAGCGGCGGACGGGUGAGUAACACGUGGAUAACCUACCUAUAAGACUGGGAUAACUUCGGGAAACCGGAGCUAAUACCGGAUAAUAUAUUGAACCGCAUGGUUCAAUAGUGAAAGACGGUUUUGCUGUCACUUAUAGAUGGAUCCGCGCCGCAUUAGCUAGUUAGUAAGGUAACGGCUUACCAAGGCAACGAUGCGUAGCCGACCUGAGAGGGUGAGCGGCCACACUGGAACUGAGACACGGUCCAGACUCCUACGGGAGGCAGCAGUAGGGAAUCUUCCGCAAUGGGCGAAAGCUUGACGGAGCAACGCCGCGUGAGUGAUGAAGGUCUUCGGAUCGUAAAACUCUGUUAUUAGGGAAGAACAAAUGUGUAAGUAACUAUGCACGUCUUGACGGUACCUAAUCAGAAAGCCACGGCUAACUACGUG
Molecule: ribosomal RNA, 497 nt
Filed under: uncultured bacterium
Lineage: Bacteria
Description: partial 16S ribosomal RNA
Rfam family: Bacterial small subunit ribosomal RNA
Source: RNAcentral